This is a non-coding RNA of Dicentrarchus labrax (European seabass), 470 nucleotides long. The record is from the annotation of a RefSeq genome assembly. NCBI's taxonomy places the organism in Eukaryota, Metazoa, Chordata, Actinopteri, Moronidae.
ACAGUGGACACACAGUUUAACAUGAUGGACUAUAGGACAGGACUGCUGCUGUUAACUAUCUGCUUGGCAGGUGUUGAUGGUCAGACUCUGACAGAAUCUGAACCAGCGGUUAAAAGGCCUGGAGAAUCUCACAGAUUGACCUGUACAGCCUCUGGAUUCACAUUCAGCAGCUAUCAUAUGGCCUGGAUCAGACAGGCUCCUGGAAAAGGACUGGAGUGGAUUGCCUGGAUUGAAAAUGAUAACGACAGGAAAUUCUACUCUCAGUCAGUUCAAGGCCGGUUUACCAUCUCCAGAGACGACAGCAGACAGCAGGUGUAUCUGCAGAUGAACAGUCUGAAGACUGAAGAUUCUGCUGUUUAUUAUUGUGCUCGAGACUCACAGUGACUGGAGUUGGUUGAGCAGCUGUACAAAAUCCUACAGUACUCAUCUUUACCACAAUUAUUCCAAUAAAAUGAUAUUAAUACUUUGAA